UUCUUCCCAAUGGUGAGUUUUCUCUUGACAUAUCAUUAUCUCUACUGUCUCUAAUUGAGAGUUAAAUUUCAAAUAGACUCCAAGAUCAUAUAGGUAGUGCUGGUAGAUAUACUCAGCAAGUGGAUGAGCACAACCCUGUCUUAUGAUGACACGAGGUUGUAUGUCAUUAGACAUCUUGUAUGAUAGUGGCAAAACACCCUUCCAAGUUAAAUUCACCUCACCCUCAACAUCUAUAGACCACCGUUCUAUUCCCUUGUUAUUCCCCCGCUCGACCCAGCUACACUUUUAUUACCUGAAAGGAAUUGUGAAGCAAAAGGGUGAGCACAACUAGCUCAGUAAAAAAAAUAUCAUGACUAAAGAUAAUUAAAUUAUCAAUAGCCUUCAUCAAUAAUAAAUCAGAGAUUUAGAACAUAUGGUAGAUGAUAAAAAAAUUUCAACCAUAGUUGCAGCGGAACGAGCACUCCAUUAGAAGAGUCAAAUAGACCAUAAAGUCUAUUAUCUUCUCCAUGUUAAAAGUCCACCAACAAUGUUUUAUCCCUGUAACAUCAAUCAACAAUUCCUGUCCACAAUCACAUGUAUAACUCAUAAUCGUAAUUGUUGUUCUAAAUUCCUUUUCUCAUUCAGGACGAAG
Molecule: long non-coding RNA, 631 nt
Filed under: Panax ginseng (ginseng)
Lineage: Eukaryota; Viridiplantae; Streptophyta; Magnoliopsida; Apiales; Araliaceae
Description: long non-coding RNA (PGIN_LNC000413)
Source: RNAcentral